Molecule: ribosomal RNA, 832 nt
Filed under: uncultured bacterium
Lineage: Bacteria
Description: bacterial SSU rRNA
Rfam family: Bacterial small subunit ribosomal RNA
Source: RNAcentral
ACGGGCUCAUAUUGAACCUAGUGAUGUAUGAGUUAGUGGCGGACGGGUGAGUAACGCGUGGAGAACCUGCCGUAUACUGGGGGAUAACACUUAGAAAUAGGUGCUAAUACCGCAUAAGCGCACAGCUUCGCAUGAAGCAGUGUGAAAAACUCCGGUGGUAUACGAUGGAUCCGCGUCUGAUUAGCUGGUUGGCGGGGUAACAGCCCACCAAGGCGACGAUCAGUAGCCGGCCUGAGAGGGUGAACGGCCACAUUGGGACUGAGACACGGCCCAAACUCCUACGGGAGGCAGCAGUGGGGAAUAUUGCACAAUGGGGGAAACCCUGAUGCAGCGACGCCGCGUGAGUGAAGAAGUAUUUCGGUAUGUAAAGCUCUAUCAGCAGGGAAGAAAUACUGACCUUACGGUCAGCAGACGGUACCUGACUAAGAAGCCCCGGCUAACUACGUGCCAGCAGCCGCGGUAAUACGUAGGGGGCAAGCGUUAUCCGGAUUUACUGGGUGUAAAGGGAGCGUAGACGGCAGCGCAAGUCUGAAGUGAAAUCCCAUGGCUUAACCAUGGAACUGCUUUGGAAACUGUGCAGCUGGAGUGCAGGAGAGGUAAGCGGAAUUCCUAGUGUAGCGGUGAAAUGCGUAGAUAUUAGGAGGAACACCAGUGGCGAAGGCGGCUUACUGGACUGUAACUGACGUUGAGGCUCGAAAGCGUGGGGAGCAAACAGGAUUAGAUACCCUGGUAGUCCACGNCCGUAACGAUGAUUACUAGGNGUUGGGGGACCAAGGUCCUUCGGUGCCGGCGCAAACGCAUUAAGUAAUCCACCUGGGGAGUACGUUCGCAA